RNAcentral lists this ribosomal RNA (253 nucleotides) under uncultured bacterium. RNAcentral's name for it is "partial 16S ribosomal RNA". It matches the Rfam family "Bacterial small subunit ribosomal RNA", at positions 524 to 776 of the family's 1533-position model. The record is from RNAcentral.
UACGUAGGGUGCAGGCGUUAAUCGGAAUUACUGGGCGUAAAGGGCGCGUAGGCGGCCUUCUAAGUCGAACGUGAAAUCCCCGGGCUCAACCCGGGAACUGCGUCCGAUACUGGAAGGCUUGAAUCCGGGAGAGGGAUGCGGAAUUCCAGGUGUAGCGGUGAAAUGCGUAGAUAUCAGGAGGAACACCGAUGGCGAAGGCAGUUCUCUGGGCCGUAACUGACGCUGAGGAGCGGAAGCGUGGGGAGCGAACAGG